GACGAACCGUGCGAACGUUAUUCGGAAUCACUGGGCUUAAAGCGUGUGUAGGCGGGCCGUUAAGUGUCUUGUGAAAUCCCCCGGCUCAACCGGGGAAUUGCUGGGCAUACUGGCGGUCUUGAGCGAUCUAGGGGCAGAUGGAACAAGUGGUGGAGCGGUGAAAUGCGUAGAUAUCACUUGGAACGCCAAAGGUGAAGACAGUCUGCUGGGGAUCUGCUGACGCUGAGACACGAAAGCCAGGGGAGCGAACGGG
RNAcentral lists this ribosomal RNA (253 nucleotides) under uncultured bacterium. Its description in RNAcentral is "partial 16S ribosomal RNA". It matches the Rfam family "Bacterial small subunit ribosomal RNA", at positions 524 to 776 of the family's 1533-position model. The record is from RNAcentral.